GGCUUCGCAGUCGAGUGGUAAGGACACUUGUCUCGGACAUUGGAGUCCUGGGUUCGAUCUCCGGUCGAGAACCU
This is a non-coding RNA of Rhamnusium bicolor, 74 nucleotides long. NCBI's taxonomy places the organism in Eukaryota, Metazoa, Arthropoda, Insecta, Coleoptera, Cerambycidae. The record is from the annotation of a GenBank genome assembly.